Molecule: long non-coding RNA, 1460 nt
Organism: Heterocephalus glaber (naked mole-rat)
Lineage: Eukaryota; Metazoa; Chordata; Mammalia; Rodentia; Bathyergidae
Source: Ensembl
CAAAAACCAACCAAACAAAAUCUAAACACAUCACAUAAUUCAUAAAUGAAACUUUAAGUUUUUCUUGAAAAUCUCCCAGGAAAUAUGGCUUCUGUGGUGUGGCCUUCCCAUGAGCUCCAUGGUUAUUCUUAGAACUACUAAAUCUCUCCAUCUGGUUGUCUUAUAACUCUUCCAUCUCCAUAUGGCCCAAAGAGAACUCACAUCUUCCCCAUCUGGUCAACAUUGGCCAUGAUUUUUGGCUAACUGGGGAAUUUGGAGAAGUUGAGAAGUUGGAAAUAUACUUCCCAGAGUCCUUUGCAACUAGGAAUACAUGGGUAGUGUAGGCUGGGCUUGGCAAUGAUGAGCCUGCAUGGGACUUUGCUGAGCUGCAGCAUCUGUAAGGGGCCUCCACAAGUCCUGGGGUCCAGCAGUACCAGUGGCUUAUCCUGGGCAAGCUGCAAUGUCUGCCCCAGGGACCUGGUGGCAUGUAUCUUCACACUGGGAGUUGCAUAGAGCUUCUGGCUGCAGGACCUCUGCACAGAGCUUCUGGUCCUCCUGCAGACAAUGGGAGCUGCUUCAUGUUUUCAUAAAUCCUUCUUUGCCUGAACUGAUGGUGUGGAUUCUGUUCUUCACAGCUGAGAACCUUGAUGAUUACAUACCCCUCUGCAGGCUUGCUGCUCCUCCAUGUCAGUAAUGACACCCCACCCCUUCACUUGUUCAGGAGCUGUGUGGCCUUGGACAAGUUAUCAUACCUCUCUGGGCCUUCAUUUUUUCACCUGUUAAUAAAAGAUUAAUCAGCUUAGCCAGAGCCCCACCAUUCCAUCUGUAAGUUCACACGGAUCCCAGGGAACAGCUGUGAGACCCAAACCAGCUCUGCUUUACGUGGAUCCCAGCCAGGGCUCUGCCCUGACCCCAGAGGCUUCUGCAUACCCAUGCAAGCUAAAGGCCUGCCCAGAAAAGAACUGCACAGGUACACAGUCUUCAGCCAGAGGCCUGCCAUACCAUUGGCCACAGCCAAGGACCUACCUGGAAAAGAGCUACACAGGCACACAAGCAAUACCCAGAGGCUCACCCUGAUACCAUUGAUAAGUAUGUGUAGACCCUAGCCAAAGCAUGUGAAGACAACAGGAACUGGGGUGCACAACCCUCAGCCAAAGGCCCUCCAAGACAACAACUACAUAGGGGCCCCAGUGAGAGGUACACCUAGAUACCAUCCCAAGUGUGCACAGGGCCCAGCCAGAAGCCCACCCAGACAACAGGUCAGCUCAGGGAUCCAGAAGGCCAGUACUCUGAACCCAGGUAUUGGUGUACUGGUGAACAGCAGAUUAAAGGCUGCUUGGUGGCUUGCUGAGAAUUCAAAACAAUUGGGUGAGCAAAAAGUCACCUCAACAAAGGCAAAGCAGGCUGCAUCUGUUGAAAUGAGAAGACAUGUAAAUAAAUCUCAAAACCAGACUUCCAGAUCACCUAAGGUAACCCCAAAG